CCGUAGCCCAAGAGAUCGGGAUAACACCUGGAAACAGAUGCUAAUACCGGAUAACAAUAGAUGAUGCCUAUCAACUGUUUAAAAGAUGGUUCUGCUAUCACUCUUGGAUGGACCUGCGGUGCAUUAGCUAGUUGGUAGGGUAACGGCCUACCAAGGCGAUGAUGCAUAGCCGAGUUGAGAGACUGAUCGGCCACAUUGGGACUGAGACACGGCCCAAACUCCUACGGGAGGCAGCAGGC
RNAcentral lists this ribosomal RNA (239 nucleotides) under uncultured Lactobacillus sp. RNAcentral describes it as "partial 16S ribosomal RNA". It matches the Rfam family "Bacterial small subunit ribosomal RNA", at positions 125 to 354 of the family's 1533-position model. The record is from RNAcentral. Lineage: Bacteria; Bacillati; Bacillota; Bacilli; Lactobacillales; Lactobacillaceae.